GACGAACGCUGGCGGCGUGCUUAACACAUGCAAGUCGAACGAAGUGGCGAACGGGUGAGUAACGCGUAAUCAACCUGCCCUUCAGCGGGGGACAACAGGUGGAAACGACUGCUAAUACCGCAUACGGAAGGAGGGGAUUGCGUCUGAUUGGCUAGUUGGGGGGGUAACGGCCCACCAAGGCGAUGAUCAGUAGCCGGGCUGGUGGGAGGAAUGGCCAAAAUGGGACCGAGGCACGGCCCCGAAUCCUACGGGAGGCAGCAGUUGGGAAUCUUCCGCAAUGGACGAAAGUCUGGCGGAGCAACGCCGCGUGAGUGAUGACGGCCUUCGGGUUGUAAAGCUCUGUUAAUCGGGACGCGGUACCGGAAUAGAAAGCCACGGCUAACUACGUGCCAGCAGCCGCGGUAAUAC
RNAcentral lists this ribosomal RNA (408 nucleotides) under uncultured bacterium. RNAcentral describes it as "partial 16S ribosomal RNA". It matches the Rfam family "Bacterial small subunit ribosomal RNA", at positions 28 to 526 of the family's 1533-position model. The record is from RNAcentral.